Molecule: ribosomal RNA, 1513 nt
Filed under: Lactiplantibacillus plantarum
Lineage: Bacteria; Bacillati; Bacillota; Bacilli; Lactobacillales; Lactobacillaceae
Description: partial 16S ribosomal RNA
Rfam family: Bacterial small subunit ribosomal RNA
Source: RNAcentral
UAUUAUACUCUCUCAGACGAACGCUGGCGGCGUGCCUAAUACAUGCAAGUCGAACGAACUCUGGUAUUGAUUGGUGCUUGCAUCAUGAUUUACAUUUGAGUGAGUGGCGAACUGGUGAGUAACACGUGGGAAACCUGCCCAGAAGCGGGGGAUAACACCUGGAAACAGAUGCUAAUACCGCAUAACAACUUGGACCGCAUGGUCCGAGCUUGAAAGAUGGCUUCGGCUAUCACUUUUGGAUGGUCCCGCGGCGUAUUAGCUAGAUGGUGGGGUAACGGCUCACCAUGGCAAUGAUACGUAGCCGACCUGAGAGGGUAAUCGGCCACAUUGGGACUGAGACACGGCCCAAACUCCUACGGGAGGCAGCAGUAGGGAAUCUUCCACAAUGGACGAAAGUCUGAUGGAGCAACGCCGCGUGAGUGAAGAAGGGUUUCGGCUCGUAAAACUCUGUUGUUAAAGAAGAACAUAUCUGAGAGUAACUGUUCAGGUAUUGACGGUAUUUAACCAGAAAGCCACGGCUAACUACGUGCCAGCAGCCGCGGUAAUACGUAGGUGGCAAGCGUUGUCCGGAUUUAUUGGGCGUAAAGCGAGCGCAGGCGGUUUUUUAAGUCUGAUGUGAAAGCCUUCGGCUCAACCGAAGAAGUGCAUCGGAAACUGGGAAACUUGAGUGCAGAAGAGGACAGUGGAACUCCAUGUGUAGCGGUGAAAUGCGUAGAUAUAUGGAAGAACACCAGUGGCGAAGGCGGCUGUCUGGUCUGUAACUGACGCUGAGGCUCGAAAGUAUGGGUAGCAAACAGGAUUAGAUACCCUGGUAGUCCAUACCGUAAACGAUGAAUGCUAAGUGUUGGAGGGUUUCCGCCCUUCAGUGCUGCAGCUAACGCAUUAAGCAUUCCGCCUGGGGAGUACGGCCGCAAGGCUGAAACUCAAAGGAAUUGACGGGGGCCCGCACAAGCGGUGGAGCAUGUGGUUUAAUUCGAAGCUACGCGAAGAACCUUACCAGGUCUUGACAUACUAUGCAAAUCUAAGAGAUUAGACGUUCCCUUCGGGGACAUGGAUACAGGUGGUGCAUGGUUGUCGUCAGCUCGUGUCGUGAGAUGUUGGGUUAAGUCCCGCAACGAGCGCAACCCUUAUUAUCAGUUGCCAGCAUUAAGUUGGGCACUCUGGUGAGACUGCCGGUGACAAACCGGAGGAAGGUGGGGAUGACGUCAAAUCAUCAUGCCCCUUAUGACCUGGGCUACACACGUGCUACAAUGGAUGGUACAACGAGUUGCGAACUCGCGAGAGUAAGCUAAUCUCUUAAAGCCAUUCUCAGUUCGGAUUGUAGGCUGCAACUCGCCUACAUGAAGUCGGAAUCGCUAGUAAUCGCGGAUCAGCAUGCCGCGGUGAAUACGUUCCCGGGCCUUGUACACACCGCCCGUCACACCAUGAGAGUUUGUAACACCCAAAGUCGGUGGGGUAACCUUUUAGGAACCAGCCGCCUAAGGUGGGACAGAUGAUUAGGGUGAAGUCGUAC